RNAcentral lists this ribosomal RNA (324 nucleotides) under uncultured eukaryote. RNAcentral describes it as "partial 18S ribosomal RNA". It matches the Rfam family "Eukaryotic small subunit ribosomal RNA", at positions 1470 to 1796 of the family's 1831-position model. The record is from RNAcentral.
CCCUUAGAUGUUCUGGGCCGCACGCGCGCUACACUGAUGCAUUCAACGAGUUUCUUCCUGGUCCGAGAGGAAUGGGUAACCUUUUGAAAGUGCAUCGUGAUAGGGAUAGACUAUUGCAAUUAUUGGUCUUCAACGAGGAAUUCCUAGUAGACGUAGUUCAUCAGACUGCAUCGAUUACGUCCCUGCCCUUUGUACACACCGCCCGUCGCUCCUACCGAUUGAAUGCUCAGGUGAGCCAUUCGGACUUUCAUCAUGCUGGUUUCCAGCUUUGAUGAAGGAAAGUCUUGCGAACCUUAUCAUUUAGAGGAAGGAGAAGUCGUAACA